AGAGUUUGAUCAUGGCUCAGGAUAANNCUGNNGGCGUGCCUAACACAUGCAAGUCGAACGCGUCGAGAAGGAAACUUCUCGACGAGUGGCGGACGGGUGAGUAACACGUGGGUGAUCUACCUUGAGGUGAGGAAUACCGGCGAGAAAUCGCCGACAAGACCGCAUACGUUUGGAAACAAACAAAGCUCUCGCAAGAAGCGCCACAAGAUGAGCCUGCGCCCGAUUAGCUUUGUUGGUGGGGUAAAAGCCUACCAAGGCGACAAUCGGUAGCUGGCUGAGAGGACGGCCAGCCACACUGGGAUUGAGAACGGCCCAGACUCCUACGGGGGGCAGCAGUGAGGAAUUUUCGUCAAUGGGGGCAACCCUGAACGAGCAACGCCGCGUGCAGGAAGAAGGUUUUCGGAUCGUAAACUGCUUUUCUUGGGAAGAGAUGGGACGGUACCCAGGGAAGAAGCCCCGAACUACGUGCCAGCAGCCGCGGUAAUACGUAGGGGGCAAGCGUUGUCCGGAUUUAUUGGCGUAAAGGCACNNNGGCGGUCUUGUGCGUUUCGAGUGACAGGUGGUGGCUCAACUGCCACAGGCCUUGGAAAACGGCAAGACUUGAGGACUUCAGAGGGAUGGGAAUUCCAGGUGGAGGGUGAAAUGCGUAGAGAUCUGGAAGAACACCAAAGGCGAAGNNNGCAUCCUGGGAAGGAUCUGACGCUCGGGUGCGAAAGCUAGGGGAGCAAACAGGAUUAGAUACCCUAGUAGUCC
RNAcentral lists this ribosomal RNA (753 nucleotides) under uncultured bacterium. RNAcentral describes it as "bacterial SSU rRNA". It matches the Rfam family "Bacterial small subunit ribosomal RNA", at positions 8 to 796 of the family's 1533-position model. The record is from RNAcentral.